GGAAGAGUGUCCGAGUGGUUUAAGGAACUGGUCUUGAAAACCAGCGAUGGGGUAACUCAUCCGUGGGUUCGAAUCCCACCUCUUCCGCCA
Molecule: transfer RNA, 90 nt
Filed under: Sphingomonas sp.
Lineage: Bacteria; Pseudomonadati; Pseudomonadota; Alphaproteobacteria; Sphingomonadales; Sphingomonadaceae
Also listed under: 17 other names
Description: tRNA-Ser
Rfam family: tRNA
About the family: Transfer RNA (tRNA) molecules are approximately 80 nucleotides in length. Their secondary structure includes four short double-helical elements and three loops (D, anti-codon, and T loops).
Source: RNAcentral